UCUUUUUUACGACUCCCCUUGUCUUUCUGGACACAAGUGUGGCUGGCUGAGACAGAUCUCAAAAGCAUGUAUGUUAUGUUUUCUCAAAGUGUCUGCAUUGGAUCCUGGGAGAGAUUUUGUAGCCCUAUCAAAAUUCCCCUUGGGUGAAGGCUUCAGGAAGAAGUGGCAACCACAUACACAGCAAAACUAGCUGUUGAGGAUGGCUCUGGG
This is a long non-coding RNA of Hyaena hyaena (striped hyena), 210 nucleotides long. RefSeq lists it as uncharacterized. The record is from RefSeq and is a predicted model, not a curated record. Lineage: Eukaryota; Metazoa; Chordata; Mammalia; Carnivora; Hyaenidae. The transcript has 3 exons.